AGCCAGCUAGUCAGCCACAAGCAAGUGACCAAUCCCUGAUCUACAAGCCAGCUAAUCAGCCACAAGCAAGUGACCAAUCCCUGUUCUAUAAACCAGCUAGUCAGCAGCCAGCAUGGAGCCAACCACCUCUCCAACAGCUAGCUAGUCAGCCACUACCAAAUCACCAACCAUCUGUCUUCCAGCAAAAUAGCCAGCAAAGUUUAGAUUACUUGCAGCCAGCAGGCUCGGAAUCUGGCUUAAGGAGAAACCAACCACUACAAAUUUUGCUAAGAGAGAUAUUGACAAAACAAGAAAUGCUUCUAGACCAGCAAAAUACAAUAAUGAGAAUCCUACAGUCAACACAUCGCCCAAGGUCUGAUGUCCAUGAUGGGGCCAAGUUCAGAGAUCGUCUUCCUAUCAAAAAUGUUGAGUCUCUCCAGUGCCUGGAGGCUGAGCUGAAGAUGAAUCCUGAUGCUAAAUCAGAAUUGACUACCUUUCUGGGUCUGGUUGGUGGCUUUGACCUCAAAGACACCGUGUGGAGAGUGCUGAAAGCCACUUUUACAACUGCUGUUGCACGUGUUAUGAAUUGGAGAGGAGUUAAUGGGAAGAUUGGUGUCCACAGCCUGGUCUUAAAGGAAGUUGUC
This is a non-coding RNA of Pimephales promelas (fathead minnow), 623 nucleotides long. The record is from RefSeq and is a predicted model, not a curated record. NCBI's taxonomy places the organism in Eukaryota, Metazoa, Chordata, Actinopteri, Cypriniformes, Leuciscidae.